GACUACGGGAGGCAGCAGUGGGGAAUAUUGCACAAUGGGGGAAACCCUGAUGCAGCAACGGCGCGUGAGUGAGGAAGUAUUUCGGUAUGUAAAGCUCUAUCAGCAGGGAAUAGCAAAGAAGGUACCGGAAAAAGAAGCCCCGGCUAACUACGUGCCAACAGCCGCGGUAAUACGUAGGGGGCAAGUGUUAUCCGGAUUAACUGGGUGUAAAGGGAGCGUAGACGGAAAGGCAAGUCAGAAGUGAAAACCCAAGUCUCAACCCUUGGAAGGCUUUGUCAACUGUCAACCUCGAGUACGGGCGCUGUAAUAGACCUUCCUAGUGUCGCGGUGCAAUGCGUAGAUAUUAGGAGGAACACCACUGUCGCAUUCAUCUUACUUGACCGAAUCUGACGUUGAGGCUCGAAAGCUUGGGGAGCGAACAGGAUUAGAUACCCUUGUAGUC
Molecule: ribosomal RNA, 442 nt
Filed under: uncultured bacterium
Lineage: Bacteria
Description: partial 16S ribosomal RNA
Rfam family: Bacterial small subunit ribosomal RNA
Source: RNAcentral